AAUCUCAAUUUUUCUAGACCUGUAUCUAUGUCGAGACCAAUUUAGAUACUCACAGACACCUAAACGUGUCAAUAAUGCAUUGGUUCGUUUUUUUUUUUUCCUUUUUUCUCUUUCUCUCUCGAGACAAAUAAGGAACACAGUCUGCUUUGAGAAUCGAUUUAUCAAAAUCAAUUCCUAGAUUUCAUAUAAUCAAAAUCGACGAGAACAAACCAAUUGACGUUCUGAUCGGAAAUUGCAGCCGAAGACACUGUAGGAAUCGAUUUCGAAUUUUGUAAGAGUUUGAAGUCAGAAGUGAAGGCCAUUCUCAUGGGUAUCUUAGUUGAAGGUUGCAUUUAGUUUUGAGGAAUAUUGCUUCAGCCUAAGUGUGUGCUUCAGCUCAUCUGAUCGUUAAAGGUACAACUCGAGAUGGCAAGGUUAUCUUGGCACCGGUGAAGAUGCAUUCUCAAUUCUAUAUUUUUUGUGUUACGAUAUUGGAAGGAAUGGCCUGAGAAAGCUUGAAAAAUAAGAGGAGUACCACACAUAUGGUUCGAUAAGGAGUGCUAUUUCGACUUGAAGUGCUCUAUGGAUGAGAGUGAGGACAUCAUCUACUUGGAAACUUGACCAUUGGCUUUGUUUGCCAUAAGAUUUUCUUAUUAUUUUCUUAUUAUACACUUGACCAUUGGCUUUGUUGUCUAGCUGUUUAAGGAACGAGCUUUGUCUCUUACUUAAAUGCUUUGCUUCAAGCAGAAUAUAAUCUUAUGGCUGAACAAAGUGUUACUGUUUCUGGUUUCAGUUGUAGUGCAUCAUUUUGAUCCACGUUUGUGUAAUUAAGUUAUGUUGUUACGGUUC
Camelina sativa (false flax) is the source of this 828-nucleotide long non-coding RNA. RefSeq lists it as uncharacterized. NCBI's taxonomy places the organism in Eukaryota, Viridiplantae, Streptophyta, Magnoliopsida, Brassicales, Brassicaceae. The record is from RefSeq and is a predicted model, not a curated record.